RNAcentral lists this long non-coding RNA (355 nucleotides) under Carica papaya (papaya). Its description in RNAcentral is "long non-coding RNA (CPAP_LNC009912)". The record is from RNAcentral. Lineage: Eukaryota; Viridiplantae; Streptophyta; Magnoliopsida; Brassicales; Caricaceae.
CCGGCACGGCGCCGCUGCCAUGCUUUGGCGCCCACGAUAGUGGUUUGCCUCGACCUGGUCACUUUUGGCCGGUGUUGGCCAGUUUUGGCUGUAUUUCUGCAUAAAAAUAUGUUAGGGGAAAUCACAAAAAAAUCGAACCUAUUGGCGACGAAGACCUCUGGGUGCAACGGCUCUGCUGGUCCUCCUUCACGGCUGAGGCUCUUUCUUUAGUUACCCUGCAUAAAAAAAGGACGGUGAAUACAAUAACCAAAAAAUUACGUGAAACGGGAAUCGAGAAGGAGCUCAUCGGAGGGAUUUUGGGGUUUUCGUCGUCGUGGCUCCAUCGAGCUUUGCCCACGAUUUUUAGUUCACCCGU